GGUUAAGCGACUAAGCGUACACGGUGGAUGCCCUGGCAGUCAGAGGCGAUGAAGGACGUGCUAAUCUGCGAUAAGCGUCGGUAAGGUGAUAUGAACCGUUAUAACCGGCGAUUUCCGAAUGGGGAAACCCAGUGUGAUUCGUCACACUAUCAUUAACUGAAUCCAUAGGUUAAUGAGGCGAACCGGGGGAACUGAAACAUCUAAGUACCCCGAGGAAAAGAAAUCAACCGAGAUUCCCCCAGUAGCGGCGAGCGAACGGGGAGCAGCCCAGAGCCUGAAUCAGUGUGUGUGUUAGUGGAAGCGUCUGGAAAGGCGCGCGAUACAGGGUGACAGCCCCGUACACAAAAAUGCACAUGCUGUGAGCUCGAUGAGUAGGGCGGGACACGUGGUAUCCUGUCUGAAUAUGGGGGGACCAUCCUCCAAGGCUAAAUACUCCUGACUGACCGAUAGUGAACCAGUACCGUGAGGGAAAGGCGAAAAGAACCCCGGCGAGGGGAGUGAAAAAGAACCUGAAACCGUGUACGUACAAGCAGUGGGAGCACAGAGCAAUCUGUGUGACUGCGUACCUUUUGUAUAAUGGGUCAGCGACUUAUAUUCUGUAGCAAGGUUAACCGAAUAGGGGAGCCGAAGGGAAACCGAGUCUUAACUGGGCGUUAAGUUGCAGGGUAUAGACCCGAAACCCGGUGAUCUAGCCAUGGGCAGGUUGAAGGUUGGGUAACACUAACUGGAGGACCGAACCGACUAAUGUUGAAAAAUUAGCGGAUGACUUGUGGCUGGGGGUGAAAGGCCAAUCAAACCGGGAGAUAGCUGGUUCUCCCCGAAAGCUAUUUAGGUAGCGCCUCGUGAAUUCAUCUCCGGGGGUAGAGCACUGUUUCGGCAAGGGGGUCAUCCCGACUUACCAACCCGAUGCAAACUGCGAAUACCGGAGAAUGUUAUCACGGGAGACACACGGCGGGUGCUAACGUCCGUCGUGAAGAGGGAAACAACCCAGACCGCCAGCUAAGGUCCCAAAGUCAUGGUUAAGUGGGAAACGAUGUGGGAAGGCCCAGACAGCCAGGAUGUUGGCUUAGAAGCAGCCAUCAUUUAAAGAAAGCGUAAUAGCUCACUGGUCGAGUCGGCCUGCGCGGAAGAUGUAACGGGGCUAAACCAUGCACCGAAGCUGCGGCAGCGACGCUUAUGCGUUGUUGGGUAGGGGAGCGUUCUGUAAGCCUGCGAAGGUGUGCUGUGAGGCAUGCUGGAGGUAUCAGAAGUGCGAAUGCUGACAUAAGUAACGAUAAAGCGGGUGAAAAGCCCGCUCGCCGGAAGACCAAGGGUUCCUGUCCAACGUUAAUCGGGGCAGGGUGAGUCGACCCCUAAGGCGAGGCCGAAAGGCGUAGUCGAUGGGAAACAGGUUAAUAUUCCUGUACUUGGUGUUACUGCGAAGGGGGGACGGAGAAGGCUAUGUUGGCCGGGCGACGGUUGUCCCGGUUUAAGCGUGUAGGCUGGUUUUCCAGGCAAAUCCGGAAAAUCAAGGCUGAGGCGUGAUGACGAGGCACUACGGUGCUGAAGCAACAAAUGCCCUGCUUCCAGGAAAAGCCUCUAAGCAUCAGGUAACAUCAAAUCGUACCCCAAACCGACACAGGUGGUCAGGUAGAGAAUACCAAGGCGCUUGAGAGAACUCGGGUGAAGGAACUAGGCAAAAUGGUGCCGUAACUUCGGGAGAAGGCACGCUGAUAUGUAGGUGAAGUCCCUCGCGGAUGGAGCUGAAAUCAGUCGAAGAUACCAGCUGGCUGCAACUGUUUAUUAAAAACACAGCACUGUGCAAACACGAAAGUGGACGUAUACGGUGUGACGCCUGCCCGGUGCCGGAAGGUUAAUUGAUGGGGUCAGCGCAAGCGAAGCUCUUGAUCGAAGCCCCGGUAAACGGCGGCCGUAACUAUAACGGUCCUAAGGUAGCGAAAUUCCUUGUCGGGUAAGUUCCGACCUGCACGAAUGGCGUAAUGAUGGCCAGGCUGUCUCCACCCGAGACUCAGUGAAAUUGAACUCGCUGUGAAGAUGCAGUGUACCCGCGGCAAGACGGAAAGACCCCGUGAACCUUUACUAUAGCUUGACACUGAACAUUGAGCCUUGAUGUGUAGGAUAGGUGGGAGGCUUUGAAGUGUGGACGCCAGUCUGCAUGGAGCCGACCUUGAAAUACCACCCUUUAAUGUUUGAUGUUCUAACGUUGACCCGUGAUCCGGGUUGCGGACAGUGUCUGGUGGGUAGUUUGACUGGGGCGGUCUCCUCCUAAAGAGUAACGGAGGAGCACGAAGGUUGGCUAAUCCUGGUCGGACAUCAGGAGGUUAGUGCAAUGGCAUAAGCCAGCUUGACUGCGAGCGUGACGGCGCGAGCAGGUGCGAAAGCAGGUCAUAGUGAUCCGGUGGUUCUGAAUGGAAGGGCCAUCGCUCAACGGAUAAAAGGUACUCCGGGGAUAACAGGCUGAUACCGCCCAAGAGUUCAUAUCGACGGCGGUGUUUGGCACCUCGAUGUCGGCUCAUCACAUCCUGGGGCUGAAGUAGGUCCCAAGGGUAUGGCUGUUCGCCAUUUAAAGUGGUACGCGAGCUGGGUUUAGAACGUCGUGAGACAGUUCGGUCCCUAUCUGCCGUGGGCGCUGGAGAAUUGAGGGGGGCUGCUCCUAGUACGAGAGGACCGGAGUGGACGCAUCACUGGUGUUCGGGUUGUCAUGCCAAUGGCACUGCCCGGUAGCUAAAUGCGGAAGAGAUAAGUGCUGAAAGCAUCUAAGCACGAAACUUGCCCCGAGAUGAGUUCUCCCUGACUCCUUGAGAGUCCUGAAGGAACGUUGAAGACGACGACGUUGAUAGGCCGGGUGUGUAAGCGCAGCGAUGCGUUGAGCUAACCGGUACUAAUGAACCGUGAGGCUUAACCUU
RNAcentral lists this ribosomal RNA (2906 nucleotides) under Escherichia coli. Its description in RNAcentral is "23S ribosomal RNA". It matches the Rfam family "Bacterial large subunit ribosomal RNA". The record is from RNAcentral. Lineage: Bacteria; Pseudomonadati; Pseudomonadota; Gammaproteobacteria; Enterobacterales; Enterobacteriaceae.